CUCCCAGCAGCCUUUGCACGGGGGCAGCACAACAUGGCGGCGCCCUUUGUCCUGUUUGGAGAGCGGGAGGCGGGUGGAAAAGGAUCCCCAGGGACUGCGGCUUUCCUGCGCCGCUUGCGGUGCGGACUCUCGAGAGGGCUCAGUCUUGAGUUUCCGGGUGCUUCCUGCUAAAUGAUACUGUGAAAAUAACUUCGUACUUUAAGGGGAAAGAAGUUGUUUGUGGGAGUUCAGAUAUCCGUGAUAAAAGCUCUAUGCUUUUUCAGUCAGUAAGCUCUUAAAAUAUCUUUCAGUAAUCCUCCAAAACCUUACUGAGACAGCAGCAUCUGUGCUAAAAGCAGUCGAGGUCCAGGAAAAGGCUGGGACAAAACGGGAUAAAUCAGCACCGCUUCCAAGCGCUUUCCCGGCUUUCCCAUGAAGCCAAAGGAGCCUUGGAAGUAGUGCCACUGUCCCUGGUCAUUCUUGUGUUUGCAGGGAGUAAAAAUGGCCUUGGGGAUUUGCUUCUGGGAACAGAGAUCCAUUUCCUGAUGGUAGUCCUGGAAAUAGAACUGAGUCUCUCUGAGAACUGAGGAUGGUACAGGAGUGCUGGGAAUGGAGAGUCCACAGUGUGGUGAGUGUCCUGAUGUCCCUGCUGUAAUGCUGUGCUGUCAUCAAGUCCCCUCAUUCUGAUGUAAACUGUCUUUGAAUGUGCUCAAAGUCCAAACUGAAGUACAAAAUGCCUAUGGGAAGCUUCAUGUUCCCAAGGGAAUGCUUUAGGGAUGUGUAGCUUCUGAACUACAGAAAUAAUUCAGGUUCCCACAGAAACCUGCUGGGCCGUGGUUCUGGGGCAAGAGUGACAGAAAAGUGGCAUCUUCAGGGCCAUCUUAAGAGUUGUUUUCCCUCAAGAUCACAAUGAAAUGCUGUUCAUGGCCCUCUGGGAAACCCCUGAGCAGGGAAACAGAUUUGAGGACCUCCCAGUGAAUUCAGUGAAUUGUCCCAAUCAGAGAGCUUAUUGCUGACCUAAAUUGAGCUUUUAAGCCCCAGACCUCCCAGAUUUGCAGUGUUUUACCAUAACAGUGAGCCAGGAUGGAUUCUCCUGUUCAGUGGUACAGCUGCCCACGAGGGCUGGGUCAGCUGGGCCAGCACUUGCUGUUGUGCGUUUUCCUCUCUCAGAGGAGACAAAACCACUUUGCUUUCCCUUGUAGGACUGACUGAGGCUGUGGAUUGCAAUGCAGAGCAUCUGCAUGCUCCUGGUGCUUGGGGCUGUGGUGUUUGGUGUGCAGGAAACAUCCCUGGGACCCUGACUGUCUGACCUGGGUGUGGAUGUGCAUUUCCAGGACUAACUCAGUCUGGGUAUCCCACCCACCCAAAGCUUCUGAUGAAGCUCCAGGACCAGCAAGUCCCUGAAACUUGAGGAAGAGAAGAAAUGAGUUAAAGUAGAAAGAUCAGAUGAUGGAAUUGCCACUCUGGAUGUGUGCUGAGCUCUGGUGGAAGGGGACUGUCAGGCCCUAAUGGCUGCGCAGUCUUGUUCUUUUCACUGGGAAAU
Corapipo altera (White-ruffed manakin) is the source of this 1522-nucleotide long non-coding RNA. RefSeq lists it as uncharacterized. The transcript has 5 exons. The record is from RefSeq and is a predicted model, not a curated record. NCBI's taxonomy places the organism in Eukaryota, Metazoa, Chordata, Aves, Passeriformes, Pipridae.